Molecule: ribosomal RNA, 216 nt
Filed under: Acinetobacter baumannii
Lineage: Bacteria; Pseudomonadati; Pseudomonadota; Gammaproteobacteria; Moraxellales; Moraxellaceae
Description: partial 16S ribosomal RNA
Rfam family: Bacterial small subunit ribosomal RNA
Source: RNAcentral
AGGAAGGUGGGGAUGACGUCAAAUCAUCAUGCCCCUUAUGUCUAGGGCUACACACGUGCUACAAUGGUAGGUACAACAAGAUGCAAUACCGUGAGGUGGAGCUAAACUCAAAAACCUAUCCCAGUUCGGAUUGUAGGCUGAAACUCGCCUACAUGAAGCCGGAGUUGCUAGUAAUCGCGAAUCAGCAUGUCGCGGUGAAUACGUUCCCGGGCCUUG